GCCAGGCAUGGUGGUGUAUGCUUGUAAUCCUAGCUACUCAGGAGGCUGAGACACAGAAUCGCUUGAGCCUGGGAGUCUGAGGUUGCAGUGAGCCGAGAUCAUGCCACUGCACUCCAGCCCAGGCGACAGAGCAAGACUCUGUCUCAA
Unclassified non-coding RNA from Papio anubis (olive baboon), 147 nucleotides. It matches the Rfam family "Metazoan signal recognition particle RNA". Rfam says of the family: The signal recognition particle (SRP) is a universally conserved ribonucleoprotein. It is involved in the co-translational targeting of proteins to membranes. The eukaryotic SRP consists of a 300-nucleotide 7S RNA and six proteins: SRPs 72, 68, 54, 19, 14, and 9. Lineage: Eukaryota; Metazoa; Chordata; Mammalia; Primates; Cercopithecidae. The record is from Ensembl.